Long non-coding RNA from Rhododendron vialii, 616 nucleotides. RefSeq lists it as uncharacterized. The transcript is spliced from 2 exons. The record is from RefSeq and is a predicted model, not a curated record. Lineage: Eukaryota; Viridiplantae; Streptophyta; Magnoliopsida; Ericales; Ericaceae.
GUAUCCUAGCAAGAAGAGAGAUUGUUUCAGUGACUCGAGCCCGUGACCACCGAAUCACAUAGGAACAACAUUGCCGUUGCGUCCAAGCUGUGGUCGCCAAUGCGCCCAGGCCGCCCUUCAAUUCUGGUACAGAGUGCAUUGUAAAAAUGGGCACCACUCGAAAUUUAACUUCAAACCCUGGUGAGAGUUUCAACACACACACACACACACACACAGGGAGAUAGCUGCAAUACUACAUUAACUUCAGGUUCCCCUUGAAUUGUUAUUCCACGUAAAAACACAGGUGAGAAAGCAACCAAAAGAAUCCUGCGACUGUAUGUGAAUUAUGAUGUGUGGAGAAAAGCAAAUAUUUAAUGGUUCACUCGGAACUACUCGAGUAAUAACUCUUGGAAAUCUGAAAGCCUUUUAAGUCUGACACUCUCAACUAAAUAGAGAAACAAGAGCAAAGUAGAGAGAACACAUCAUCUAAAUGUGAAUGGGCUUGUCAUAUGUGGCCAUGGCAGCCUCUUUCAGCGCCUCGCUCAUAGUCGGAUGCGCAUGGCACGUGCGUGCAAUGUCCUCACUUGACGCUCCAUACUGCAACGCCAGCACUGCCUCGUGAAUGAGCUCCCCAGCA